CACCCUCCUACACACACACUUUGACCCUUGUCCUGGCCCCCCGCCCUCACCUGGUCACUGAGUCCAGUUCACACAGAUAUGGGUGAAAGAGAGAACAGAAAGAACUGGCUUUGUCUCAAAAUCAAUCUGUUGUCGUUUUGUUUGUUCUCUAAUUCACCCACCGAGUGUCCAGUUACUGGAAAAUCCUGCGCAGCUCCAGAGCAAACACACAUUCAUACUUACUGUAAAUUACUACAUAUAUAUAAAUGCAAAUAAAGCUGGAGGACAGACUGUUUCAUGACUUCCAGACUUGGGAUUUGAAAGAAUUUCUCAUGUGAUGUCAUGGAUUUGAAAGCAGCAGGGAGUCUGAGACGUGAGACCAGGAGUUGGUCUGGAAGAGACCUGAAGGAGGAUGUUUGUUGCUCAAAGCUGACCCUGCACUGCUUUGUUCACUCUGGACCACCGAAAGGUUCUGCAGAGGAAAUCCAAGCCAGAAGCAUGAGGAGACGGUCAAGGGAUCGUGUUGUGGGAACCUCCAGGUAGACAGGAGCUUUGAGCAGGCUCUGAUGGAGGACGUGAUGAAUACGACUCAGGCGAGGUCGUGCUCCGAGGCAGAGCAGCUGAACUUUACUUUGUGCUCUUCAGUUAGUUGGGUGGCGACUGGUUUAUCACGGUGCAGGAAGUCGGUCCGCUUCCUCCUCCACAUCCUUUAACUGCACAGAUGACUGGCUUUCCUCAGAUCCUGGUGGCUGUGUGUGCGUGUGUGUGUGUGUGUGUGUGUGAGAGGACACACAAAUGAACAACAGAUCAAUGACAGCAGCAGGACUACAUGAGUCAGUGUGCAACAUGAUGUGGGUGUGACUGCAGACCUGCAGGAGGCUUACCUUCCAAAGAGCUGUUUAUUUAACUAAACCUGCCAACCUGAGCUCACAAUGGGACGGAAAUACCUAAAUAAAAAUAUAAAUUUAUAGAUAUAUUUAUAUUAUUUCAGGAAAACAACAACUUCAUCCAUUGAGAUGAUGAAGAUGAUAAAUAACUUUUAGUUUCAGAUUUUAAAACGUAUUUUGGUUUUUAAAAUGUGCAGAAAAGUCUUAUCGAAGGCGAUCCGAAGGACUUGAGAGCGACUCGUUGUUUGUUUUACAGGCAGAGAAGAAGAUCAAAUUUAAAGCAGUUUUGUAACGUAUUAAAUGACUCUUCUUUUAAACAUUCA
Long non-coding RNA from Austrofundulus limnaeus, 1189 nucleotides. RefSeq lists it as uncharacterized. The record is from RefSeq and is a predicted model, not a curated record. NCBI's taxonomy places the organism in Eukaryota, Metazoa, Chordata, Actinopteri, Cyprinodontiformes, Rivulidae. The transcript is spliced from 3 exons.